Molecule: ribosomal RNA, 571 nt
Filed under: uncultured Candidatus Poseidoniales archaeon
Lineage: Archaea; Methanobacteriati; Thermoplasmatota; Candidatus Poseidoniia; Candidatus Poseidoniales
Description: bacterial SSU rRNA
Rfam family: Archaeal small subunit ribosomal RNA
Source: RNAcentral
GGCAAUGCGAGCAAUCGUGACCAGGGAACUCCAAGUGGCUGGGGUAAUACCCAGUUUUUUCUUGACUCUUCAAAGGUCUUGGAAUAAGGGGUGGGUAAGGACGGUGCCAGCCGCCGCGGUAAUACCGGCGCCUCAAGUGGUAGUCGCUUUUAUUGGGCCUAAAACGUCCGUAGCCGGUCUGGUGCAUUCGUGGGUAAAUCAACCCGCUCAACGGGUUGAAUUCUGCGAGCACGGCCAGACUUGGGACCGGGAGAGGUGUGGGGUACUCUCAGGGUAGGGGUAAAAUCCUGUCAUCCUGAGAGGACCACCUGUUGCGAAGGCGCCACACUAGAACGGAUUCGACGGUCAGGGACGAAACCUAGGGGCACGAACCGGAUUAGAUACCCGGGUAGUCCUAGAUGUAAACGCUGUGGACUUGAUGUUGGGGGUGCUCCGAGCACUCUCAGUGUCGAAGCGAAGGUGAUAAGUCCACUGCCUGGGGAGUACGGUCGCAAGGCUGAAACUUAAAGGAAUUGGCGGGGGAGCACCGCAACCUGAGGAUUGUGCGGUUUAAUUGGACUCAACGCCGGGA